This 72-nucleotide transfer RNA is filed under the name Rhipicephalus sanguineus (brown dog tick). Its description in RNAcentral is "transfer RNA alanine (anticodon CGC)". It matches the Rfam family "tRNA". From Rfam's summary of the family: Transfer RNA (tRNA) molecules are approximately 80 nucleotides in length. Their secondary structure includes four short double-helical elements and three loops (D, anti-codon, and T loops). Lineage: Eukaryota; Metazoa; Arthropoda; Arachnida; Ixodida; Ixodidae. The record is from Rfam by way of RNAcentral.
GCCGCCGUAGCUCAGUGGUAGAGCAUUGGACGCGCUAUUCAAAGGUCACAGGUUCGGUCCCUGCCGGCGGCA